RNAcentral lists this ribosomal RNA (445 nucleotides) under uncultured bacterium. RNAcentral's name for it is "partial 16S ribosomal RNA". It matches the Rfam family "Bacterial small subunit ribosomal RNA", at positions 354 to 796 of the family's 1533-position model. The record is from RNAcentral.
GUGAGGAAUAUUGGACAAUGGGCGCAAGCCUGAUCCAGCCAUGCCGCGUGCAGGAAGACGCAUCUAUGGUGUGUAAACUGCUUUUGUACGGGAAGAAACACUCCCUCGUGAGGGAGCUUGACGGUACCGUAAGAAUAAGGAUCGGCUAACUCCGUGCCAGCAGCCGCGGUAAUACGGAGGAUCCAAGCGUUAUCCGGAAUCAUUGGGUUUACAGGGUCCGUAGGCAGUUUAAUAAGUCAGGGGUGAAAGCCCAUCGCUCAACGAUGGAACGGGCAUUGAUACUGUUAGACUUGAAUUACAAGGAAGGAACUAGAAUAUGUAGUGUAGCGGUGAAAUGCUUAGAUAUUACAUGAAAUACCAAUUGCGAAGGCAGGUUACUACUUGUGGAUUGACGCUGAUGGACGAAAGCGUGGGGAGCGAACAGGAUUAGAUACCCUAGUAGUCC